This 253-nucleotide ribosomal RNA is filed under the name uncultured bacterium. RNAcentral's name for it is "partial 16S ribosomal RNA". It matches the Rfam family "Bacterial small subunit ribosomal RNA", at positions 524 to 776 of the family's 1533-position model. The record is from RNAcentral.
UACGGAGGGUGCAAGCGUUAUCCGGAUUCACUGGGGUUAAAGGGUGCGUAGGUGGGCAGGUAAGUCUGUGGUGAAAUCUUUGGGCUUAACCCGAAAACUGCCAUUGAUACUAUUUGUCUUGAAUAUUGUGGAGGUCAGCGGAAUAUGUCAUGUAGCGGUGAAAUGCUUAGAUAUGACAUAGAACACCAAUUGCGAAGGCAGCUGGCUACGCAAAUAUUGACACUGAUGCACGAAAGCGUGGGGAUCAAACAGG